CCUACGGGGGGCUGCAGUGGGGAAUAUUGGACAAUGGGGGGAACCCUGAUCCAGCCAUGCCGCGUGUGUGAAGAAGGCCCUCGGGUUGUAAAGAACUUUCAGUGAGGAAGAACGCCUGGUGGUUAAUACCCAUCAGGAAAGACAUCACUCACAGAAGAAGCACCGGCUAACUCCGUGCCAGCAGCCGCGGUAAUACGGAGGGUGCGAGCGUUAAUCGGAAUUACUGGGCGUAAAGCGCGCGUAGGUGGCUUGAUAAGCCGGUUGUGAAAGCCCCGGGCUCAACCUGGGAACGGCAUCCGGAACUGUCAAGCUAGAGUGCAGGAGAGGAAGGUAGAAUUCCCGGUGUAGCGGUGAAAUGCGUAGAGAUCGGGCGGAAUACCAGUGGCGAAGGCGGCCUUCUGGACUGACACUGACACUGAGGUGCGAAAGCGUGGGUAGCAAACAGGAUUAGAUACCCCUGUAGUC
RNAcentral lists this ribosomal RNA (465 nucleotides) under Vreelandella stevensii. Its description in RNAcentral is "partial 16S ribosomal RNA". It matches the Rfam family "Bacterial small subunit ribosomal RNA", at positions 338 to 795 of the family's 1533-position model. Lineage: Bacteria; Pseudomonadati; Pseudomonadota; Gammaproteobacteria; Oceanospirillales; Halomonadaceae. The record is from RNAcentral.